Long non-coding RNA from Equus caballus (horse), 1710 nucleotides. NCBI's taxonomy places the organism in Eukaryota, Metazoa, Chordata, Mammalia, Perissodactyla, Equidae. The record is from Ensembl.
CUUAAAAAUAACAGCCACGAUAAUAACAGUCAUCACUUAUUGAAUGCUUACUACCUGCCAGGCACAGUAGUAUUACUUCACAUACAUUAUCUAUCAUAUUUAUAUCUUAGGGGUAGGUACUAUCACUAUCCCCAUUCUAUUGAUAUGGAUUUUGAGGCACAGAGAGAUUGGAUGCCUUGCCCAAGGUCGUUAGCUAGUAAAUGGCAGAGUCAGGAUUUGUAUCAAGCCAUUUGCUCUUAACCACUAUGUAUGUGCCAUCCACUGUACUAGCCUUUAAAAGAUUUAAAAGUAAAUAUGACCAGAGUCCCUGUCCUCAAGGAGUUCACAGUCUAUUAGAAGAAAGAAAGUGCAAAUAAUUGUGAUGCAGAGUGAUAAAUACUACAAUAAAGAUACACAGAAAAUAGUGAUUGUACCAAGGAGAUAAUCAAUUUUGCUUAGAUGGGAGUGGAGGGUUGAUGAAAUUUCAAAGUGGAGAACUGUGAGCUGAAUUUAAAGAAUGAGAAGGUGCAGGUAGGUAGAGUGACUAUAAAAGCAGAGGGAGAAGCAUGUGCAAAAGCUAAGGGAGGGGCUGGCCCCAUGGCCGAGUGGUUAAGUUUGCGCACUCCGCUGCAGGUGGCCCAGUGUUUCGUUGGUUGGAAUCCUGGGCGCGGAUAUGGCACUGCUCAUCAAACCACGCUGAGGCAGCGUCCCACAUGCUACAACUAGAAGGACCCACAAUGAAGAAUAUACAACUAUGUACUGGGGGGCUUUGGGGAGAAAAAGGAAAAAAAUAAAAUCUUUCAAAAAGCUAUGGGAACGUUGGAUUGGGGUGAGGUACUGGGGAGGGAGAGUCCGGGAAGGAGGACUACAACGACAUGCCAGGCAAAUGUAAGAAGUAUACGGAUUUUUAGACAGUUUUAAUAUGUUUAUUAAUUUUUUGAUAGGGCAAGUCUGUUAGCAACUUAUUCAAAGAAAAAAAUAGUCAACCCAUUAAAUAGAAUUCACUAUAAAAUGUAACAUGUUUUUUAAAUUUAUUUUUUUAUUGUGGUCAUAACAGUUUGUAACAUUGUGAAAUUUCAGUUGUACAUUAUUAUUUGUUGGACACCAUACAAGCAUGCCCCUUCACCCCUAGUGCCCACUCCCUAUGCCCCUUCCACUGGGGAACCACUAAACUGUUCUCUUUGUCUGUCAGUUUGUUUAUGUUCCACAAAUAGGUGAAAUCAUAUGGUGUUUGUCUUUCUCUGUCUGGCUUAUUUCACUUAACAUGAUACUCCCAAGAUCCAUCCAUGUGGUUGUGAAUAGGACGGUUUUGACUUUUUUAUGGCUGAGUAGUAUUCUAUUGUAUAUGUAUAUACCACAUCUUCUUUAUCCAAUCAUCAGUCGAGGGGCAAUUGGGUUGCUCCAUGUCUUGGCUAUGGUGAAUAAUGCUGCAUAGGUAGCACUGUUUCUAGCACAAGUUCAUUAACUAAUCAUAUGAUAAUUAUGUAAUUAAGUAAUUAUGGUAGUCAAAUGAUAAAUAAAAAUUCUAUACAAUAACAAAGUUACGAUACAAUAAAAAGGUUUGCUCCUUUACAAUAAUUUCCCUAUUAUUUUUUGUGUAACCUUCAAAAUAUCAUUUUAGUGCACUGUAAUUUACUCCAUCAUUCUCUUAUCUUGAUAUUCAGGAUACUUCUGAUUUCUUUCUAUUAUAGAUAAUGUCGUGAUAAAUACCUCUGCAGACAUAUUUUUUCC